RNAcentral lists this unclassified non-coding RNA (2509 nucleotides) under Mizuhopecten yessoensis (Yesso scallop). RNAcentral's name for it is "uncharacterized LOC110443451, transcript variant X2". The record is from RNAcentral. Lineage: Eukaryota; Metazoa; Mollusca; Bivalvia; Pectinida; Pectinidae.
UACCUGAGUAUUGACGUACCACAAUGCCACAUUCGAUUCAUGGACAGCAUCAACUUCUUACCUAUGGCUUUAGCGGACUUGCCAGAAUCGUUUGGAAUAGAAGAAGAAUCCAAAGGGUACUUUCCUCAUUUUUUUAAUCGCAAAGAAAAUCAAGGAAUUUGCCUGCCACAUCUACCGGACAUAAAAUAUUAUCACCCGGACGGCAUGAAGCCAAAAAGAAGAAAAUCGUUCCUGGAGUGGUAUGAAAUACACAAAGACGAACCCUUCAAAUUCCAAGAAGAGCUUCUAAAGUAUUGUCGAUCAGACGUAGACAUUCUCCGGAAGUGCUGCUUAAAGUUUCGGGAAAUGUUUAUACAAAUGACGAAUAAAGACGGCAGCGGCGGAAUCAACCCAUUUCAAAAUUGCAUCACCAUAGCAUCCGCCUGCAAUCUUGUCUACAGAACAAUGUUUUUAGAGUCCGAAAGCAUUGGUAUCAUUCCACCACAUGGCUACAGACCGGAGGAUAAACAAUCGAUCAAAGCAAUGAAAUGGUUGAAAUUCAUCGCAAGUUCUGAGGGUCUUAGAAUCCAACAUGCCGCCAAUGACGGAGAGAAACAUAUAGGGUCUUACAAAGUCGAUGGGUAUAUCACAAAUGAAGGAGAAAAGGACACUAUCUUGGAAUUCCACGGGUGUUUCUGGCACGGUUGUACGAAAUGUUAUGCCCGUAACACGAUCAACACCGUAACCGAUUGUACCAUGGCCGAUCUCCACAUGAGAACGUUGGACAAGCAACGUUAUCUACAAGAUCUAGGAUGUAACUACAGAUGCAUGUGGGAAUGCGACUUUGAAAGACAAAGUAAGCUUGAUGAACCACUCAGGUCAUUUUUGAACACACUAGACAUCGAAGAACCUCUAGAACCAAGAGACGCUUUCUAUGGAGGAAGAACAGAAGCAUUUACGAUGUAUGCCGAAGCCUCCGAAGACCGGCAGAUUAAGUACUAUGACGUGACAUCCCUCUAUCCUUAUAUUAACAAGGUCGGGAAAGUUCCCCUCGGCCAUCCUAAAAUCAUCACGGAAAACUUUGACAACAUUGAAGAAUACGAAGGGUUGAUCCUAUGCAAGAUGUCGCCACCAAGAGAUUUAUUCGUACCCGUUCUUCCCUUCCGAACCAAUGGGAAAUUGUUGUUUCCGUUAUGCCGCACGUGCGCUAAGGAAUCGUCAAAAGAAAAGUGUAGUCAUGGCGACAACGGAAGGGCCAUCACUGGCACGUGGGUGACUGACGAAGUGAAGACAGCCAUCAGGAAAGGAUACCGCUUGUUAGAGACAUAUGAAGUAUGGCAUUUCGAAAACAUUUCACAAUACGACACUGUGUCAAAAACUGGGGGUGUAUUCACUGAUUAUGUCAACACCUUCUUGAAGUUAAAACAGGAAGCUAGUGGGUGGCCAAAAUAGUGUCAAACUGAGCACGAUAAACAGAAAUACGUCAAGGACUACUACGACAGAGAAGGGAUACUUCUGGACAGGGAAAACAUCAAGAAAAAUCCCGGACUGAAAAAACUGGCCAAGCUCAUGCUUAACAGUUUCUGGGGUAAAUUUGGUCAGCGAACAAACUUGAUCCAGUCAUCUUAUAUUUCGGAUCCGUGCGAGUACUUUGACAUGAUGUCAAGUGAUAGUCAAAUUGUGAAAGAUGUCAACAUCGUAUCAGAUCAGAUGGUGAGGAUGGACUGGAAUUACAACAGCGAUUUUCUGACAGCUUCUGGCCGCACCAAUGCUGUGGUCGCCGCCUACACAACGGCACAGGCAAGACUCAAACUGUAUAGCUACCUGGAAACACUGGACCGACGGGCCCUUUACUGUGACACAGAUUCGGUGGUAUUUACGGUCGAACCUGGGCAAUGGGAGCCCGAGCUCGGAGACAAUCUUGGUGAUCUCACUGAUGAGGUUGAAGGAUCAAGCAUUGUGACCUUUGUCACUGGAGGUCCAAAAAACUACGCAUAUACUCUCUCAAAACCAAACAGAGAUGGUGAAAUGAGUUGCUGCAAGGUUCGGGGGAUAACUCUGAAUUAUAAAAACUCCCUAGAAAUCAAUCAUGAAACAGUGAAAGAUAUGGUUUGUGGAAAGAAGGAAAAGGUCACGGUGUGUGAUGAUCUUAAAAUUUGCCGUGACAAACAAUCAUGUAACCUCUUAACAAAAAUAGAAACCAAAGACUAUAAAAUUGUGUUUGACAAGCGCGUCAUUUCAGACAAGUAUGUCACUCUUCCAUAUGGAAUGUAAAAAUAUACUUACAGGUAGAAAACGUUAAUUCCACAAAACACCAUGUAGACCUUUCAUGACACCCGAAUUCAACUUACGUAGCAAUUGUUUUUAUAUGAUAUUGUACCAGUUCUAUUGAUUGACUAUCUAUUCAUACUUAAUUCACAUGUACAUAUAUGUAUAAGUAGACACGCAUGAAUAAUUUUAUAAUGUGUAUAACCUGUAUAAUUGUUGUGUAUAUGUAUGUUUGAUAUUCCUGGUUUUUUUUAUUUUUAUG